GACGAACGCUGGCGGCGUGCCUAAUACAUGCAAGUAGAACGCUGAAGGAGGAGCUUGCUUCUCUGGAUGAGUUGCGAACGGGUGAGUAACGCGUAGGUAACCUGCCUGGUAGCGGGGGAUAACUAUUGGAAACGAUAGCUAAUACCGCAUAAUAGUAGAUGUUGCAUGACAUUUGCUUAAAAGGUGCAAUUGCAUCACUACCAGAUGGACCUGCGUUGUAUUAGCUAGUUGGUGGGGUAACGGCUCACCAAGGCGACGAUACAUAGCCGACCUGAGAGGGUAAUCGGCCAAGCUGGGACGGAGAGACGGCCCAGACUCCUACGGGAGGCAGCAGUAGGGAAUCUUCGGCAAUGGAAGGAAGGCUGACCGAGCGACGCCGCGUGAGUGAAGAAGGUUGUCGGAUCGUAAAGCUCUGUUGUAAGAGAAGAACGAGUGUGAGAGUGGAAAGUUCACACUGUGACGGUAUCUUAACAGAAAGGGACGGCUAACUACGUG
Molecule: ribosomal RNA, 495 nt
Filed under: uncultured bacterium
Lineage: Bacteria
Description: partial 16S ribosomal RNA
Rfam family: Bacterial small subunit ribosomal RNA
Source: RNAcentral